UACGAGGGAGGCGAGCGUUGUUCGGAAUUAUUGGGCGUAAAGAGCUCGUAGGCGGCCAGUUGCGUCUGCUGUGAAAUCCCGGGGCUCAACCCCGGGCGUGCAGUGGAUACGGGCUGGCUAGAGGCAGGCAGGGGAGAACGGAAUUCCCGGUGUAGCGGUGAAAUGCGCAGAUAUCGGGAGGAACACCGGUGGCGAAGGCGGUUCUCUGGGCCUGUACUGACGCUGAGGAGCGAAAGCGUGGGGAGCGAACAGG
This 253-nucleotide ribosomal RNA is filed under the name uncultured bacterium. RNAcentral describes it as "partial 16S ribosomal RNA". It matches the Rfam family "Bacterial small subunit ribosomal RNA", at positions 524 to 776 of the family's 1533-position model. The record is from RNAcentral.